GGUAGACCACCACGUUGAUAGGCUGGAUGUGGAAGCGCAGUAAUGCGUGCAGCUGACCAGUACUAAUAGCUCAAUUGGCUUGAUUUAUG
RNAcentral lists this ribosomal RNA (89 nucleotides) under Flavobacteriaceae bacterium. Its description in RNAcentral is "partial 23S ribosomal RNA". It matches the Rfam family "Bacterial large subunit ribosomal RNA", at positions 2839 to 2925 of the family's 2925-position model. The record is from RNAcentral. Lineage: Bacteria; Pseudomonadati; Bacteroidota; Flavobacteriia; Flavobacteriales; Flavobacteriaceae.